AGUGAACGCUGGCGGUAGGCCUAACACAUGCAAGUUGAACGGCAGCACAGGAGAGCUUGCUCUCUGGGUGGCGAGUGGCGGACGGGUGAGGAAUACAUCGGAAUCUACUCUGUCGUGGGGGAUAACGUAGGGAAACUUACGCUAAUACCGCAUACGACCUACGGGUGAAAGCAGGGGAUCUUCGGACCUUGCGCGAUUGAAUGAGCCGAUGUCGGAUUAGCUAGUUGGCGGGGUAAAGGCCCACCAAGGCGACGAUCCGUAGCUGGUCUGAGAGGAUGAUCAGCCACACUGGAACUGAGACACGGUCCAGACUCCUACGGGAGGCAGCAGUGGGGAAUAUUGGACAAUGGGCGCAAGCCUGAUCCAGCCAUACCGCGUGGGUGAAAAAGGCCUUCGGGUUGUAAAGCCCUUUUGUUGGGAAAGAAAUCCAGCUGGCUAAUACCCGGUUGGGAUGACGGUACCCAAAGAAUAAGCACCGGCUAACUUCGUGCCAGCAGCCGCCGUAA
This 506-nucleotide ribosomal RNA is filed under the name uncultured bacterium. RNAcentral's name for it is "partial 16S ribosomal RNA". It matches the Rfam family "Bacterial small subunit ribosomal RNA", at positions 29 to 523 of the family's 1533-position model. The record is from RNAcentral.